AGUGAACGCUGGCGGUAGGCCUAACACAUGCAAGUCGAACGGCAGCACAGUAAGAGCUUGCUCUUACGGGUGGCGAGUGGCGGACGGGUGAGGAAUACAUCGGAAUCUACUUUUUCGUGGGGGAUAACGUAGGGAAACUUACGCUAAUACCGCAUACGACCUACGUGUGAAAGCAGGGGAUCUUCGGACCUUGCGCGAUUGAAUGAGCCGAUGUCGGAUUAGCUAGUUGGCGGGGUAAAGGCCCACCAAGGCGACGAUCCGUAGCUGGUCUGAGAGGAUGAUCAGGCAACCUGGAAGUGAGGACCGGUCCAGACUCCUGCGGGGGGCAGCAGUGGGGAAUAUUGGACGAUGGGGCCAAGGCUGAUCCAGCCAUACCGCGUGGGUGAAGAAGGCCUUCGGGUUGUAAAGCCCUUUUGUUGGGAAAGAAAAGCAGCAGGUUAAUACCGCGCUGUUCUGACGGUACCCAAAGAAGAAGCACCGGCUAACUUCGUG
Molecule: ribosomal RNA, 492 nt
Filed under: uncultured bacterium
Lineage: Bacteria
Description: partial 16S ribosomal RNA
Rfam family: Bacterial small subunit ribosomal RNA
Source: RNAcentral